RNAcentral lists this long non-coding RNA (325 nucleotides) under Monodelphis domestica (gray short-tailed opossum). Its description in RNAcentral is "lncRNA (ENSMODG00000038068.1)". The record is from RNAcentral. Lineage: Eukaryota; Metazoa; Chordata; Mammalia; Didelphimorphia; Didelphidae.
GUUAGGAUUACGUGCUAACAAAAUUUUACAAUAUAUCAAUUUCUUAAUACAAAGGUCAUUCCUAUUGCAACCAAUAGAAAAUUUAACUCAAGUUAAAUUGAACUACCCUAUGCCUUAUGUAAUGCUAAUUCCAAUGUAACAAUUCAUAACAUUUAUAUAUAUAUAUAUACAUAUUAAUUUGUAUCUAAUGAAAUCUGAUUUAUUCUCUCCCUAUGUUACCUUUCUAGUUACAACAUUCCCUUUUCCACCCGAAACUCUUCUGUCCCUGUCUGUUAAUGGUUACAUACUUGUUGGUUGCCUCACCUUGAAAGACUAUCUCAGAUGA